This 244-nucleotide ribosomal RNA is filed under the name uncultured Staphylococcus sp. RNAcentral's name for it is "partial 16S ribosomal RNA". It matches the Rfam family "Bacterial small subunit ribosomal RNA", at positions 96 to 334 of the family's 1533-position model. Lineage: Bacteria; Bacillati; Bacillota; Bacilli; Caryophanales; Staphylococcaceae. The record is from RNAcentral.
CGGCGGACGGGUGAGUAACACGUGGAUAACCUACCUAUAAGACUGGGAUAACUUCGGGAAACCGGAGCUAAUACCGGAUAAUAUUUUGAACCGCAUGGUUCAAAAGUGAAAGACGGUCUUGCUGUCACUUAUAGAUGGAUCCGCGCCGCAUUAGCUAGUUGGUAAGGUAACGGCUUACCAAGGCAACGAUGCGUAGCCGACCUGAGAGGGUGAUCGGCCACACUGGAACUGAGACACGGUCCAG